GAAAUGCGAUACGUAGUGUGAAUUGCAGAAUUCAGUGAAUCAUCGAAACCUUGAACGCACCUUGCGCCUGUGGUCACCCGCAGGCAUGUCUGUUUGAGUGUCGUUUAUCCUUCUCACCAUCAAAGAUAUUCUUCUUUCCUCGGUGGACUUGAGCGUUUGUUUUGACGAGCAAUCGCUUGAAAAACAGUGGGGACUGAAUGGCAGAGUUUGGACUUUCAUGUGCUGAAGUUGUUCUUUGCAGACCCGGUUGUUUGUUAACAUUUUUUAAAAUGAACCUCACUUCCGAGCCUGUGAUACACGGACCUCCUCAGCCUUAAGAGCUUCCUCUCACUGUCAACCUCGGGCCCUCUUAAAACCCAUAUUUUUAAAAACUGCGACCUCAAAUCAGACAAGAUUACCC
Molecule: unclassified non-coding RNA, 400 nt
Filed under: uncultured fungus
Lineage: Eukaryota; Fungi
Description: sequence contains ITS1
Rfam family: 5.8S ribosomal RNA (bases 1-103)
Source: RNAcentral